RNAcentral lists this ribosomal RNA (813 nucleotides) under Trigona lacteipennis. RNAcentral's name for it is "eukaryotic LSU rRNA". It matches the Rfam family "Eukaryotic large subunit ribosomal RNA", at positions 402 to 939 of the family's 3401-position model. Lineage: Eukaryota; Metazoa; Arthropoda; Insecta; Hymenoptera; Apidae. The record is from RNAcentral. RNAcentral also lists the same sequence under 1 other name.
AAACCGUUCAGGGGUAAACCUAAGAAACCCAAAAGAUCGAAUGGGGAGAUUCAUCGUCGACGGCGCUGGCUACCGUUGGUGCGCGAUGCUCCGGGUGGGCCCUUGCGGUUCCAUUAGCGUGUGGCACACCACCUUCGGAUCGAACGUUCCGGCGUCGUAGUCGUGCACUUCUCCCCUAGUAGGACGUCGCGACCCGUUGUGUGUCGGUCUACGGCCCGAGUGGGCGCCUGUCGCGUCGUUUCGGCGCACGCGGCAGACCCUCGGUCGCCCGGCCGGCUGCACGACGGUACACUCACGGUAUCGGGCCGCAACCAGUCCAUUCUCGAAUGUGUGUGCGUCCAACCCGCCGCAAGCUCGGUCAGUUCUUACCCGGAGGUACGGACCCUGUGCCGUCCCCGGGCCUGGCCAGCUGUUAGCAGGCGGUGUCCUCGGACUGGCCAAAUCUCAGAUUACCGGUCAGCGACGCUAUUGCUUUGGGUACUCUCAGGACCCGUCUUGAAACACGGACCAAGGAGUCUAACAUGUGCGCGAGUCAUUGGGAUGCAUAAACCUAAAGGCGAAAUGAAAGUGAAAGUCGGCCUUCGCGCCGAUCGAGGGAGGAUGGGCCGCGUAACCAUGCGGCCUCGCACUCCCGGGGCGUCUCGUUCUCAUUGCGAGAAGAGGCGCACCUAGAGCGUACACGUUGGGACCCGAAAGAUGGUGAACUAUGCCUGGUCAGGACGAAGUCAGGGGAAACCCUGAUGGAGGUCCGUAGCGAUUCUGACGUGCAAAUCGAUCGUCGGAACUGGGUAUAGGGGCGAAAGACUAAUCGAA